UGUGGUCAAUGGAACCUCUUCGUGUUGGGGAACUUGUUUGAGUCGGGGAACCGGCUUUCCUGGGGAUUCCUUUCUCCCCCUCUGCUUCUCCAGGGACUCCCUUCUUGGGCGUGCUUUCAAGAGGGUGUUUGUGUUUUCUUUUGUUAGCUAUUCGUUGUAUUUUUGUUUUGACAGAGGUGGGACACUUUCGAUGAGGGAGAAGGGAGGGUACAUCGUCCAGAUGGUUUCCUCAGUGGGUUGUGGCAGAUGGGUCACCAGCAUCCUCCUCUCUAUGGCCCCACAGGUCUCCAUAAUGCACUGCAACACUGUCUGGAAUCCAAGACGAUAGAUAUUGAUUUGUGCAAAACCAGAUGGAAGUCCCUCCGUGCCACUUUUGUAAAGCACCUACGGAAGGCCCAACCCAACAGUUCUGGGGGAACCAAUCAGAAAGAAUUGAAAUACAUGAAAAUAUUAUCAUUCUUGCUUCCAGCCAAGAAGUCCUCCUGGUUCUGACCCUUGCCUGUCCUGACUCUGAG
Long non-coding RNA from Salvelinus sp. IW2-2015, 515 nucleotides. RefSeq lists it as uncharacterized. The record is from RefSeq and is a predicted model, not a curated record. Lineage: Eukaryota; Metazoa; Chordata; Actinopteri; Salmoniformes; Salmonidae.